UACGUAGGGUGCGAGCGUUAAUCGGAAUUACUGGGCGUAAAGCGUGCGCAGGCGGUUUUGUAAGCCAGGUGUGAAAGCCCCGGGCUCAACCUGGGAAUGGCAAUGGAUACUGGCAAGCUAGAGUGCGGUAGAGGGUAGUGGAAUUCCCGGUGUAGCGGUGAAAUGCGUAGAGAUCGGGAGGAACACCAGUGGCGAAGGCGGCUACCUGGACCAGCACUGACACUGAGGCACGAAAGCGUGGGGAGCAAACAGG
RNAcentral lists this ribosomal RNA (253 nucleotides) under uncultured bacterium. Its description in RNAcentral is "partial 16S ribosomal RNA". It matches the Rfam family "Bacterial small subunit ribosomal RNA", at positions 524 to 776 of the family's 1533-position model. The record is from RNAcentral.